This is a long non-coding RNA of Beta vulgaris subsp. vulgaris (sugar beet), 506 nucleotides long. RefSeq lists it as uncharacterized. The transcript is spliced from 3 exons. Lineage: Eukaryota; Viridiplantae; Streptophyta; Magnoliopsida; Caryophyllales; Amaranthaceae. The record is from RefSeq and is a predicted model, not a curated record.
CUUCGCGAGUGCGAGGCGUUGCAAGCGUGUCGGUGCAGGUGCGGGACGAGGGUUGUGCGAGCGAGGCUAAGGGAUCGAGUGUAGUGCGAGUGCUGUGCGGAUUGUGCGAGUGAGUGGAGUCGAGGGCUGGAUCGAAGGCUGUGCGAGCGAGGCUAAGGGCUCGAGUGAGUUGAGUAUUGUGCGGUUGUGCGAAAGGCGCGCGACGAGGGAGCCCGUGAGUGUUCGAGGGACGUGCGAGGCUUGCUGCUGCUGUGCGAGGCUGCUGUUGCUGCUGUGCGAGUUGUGCGACGAAGCUCGAAGCGUGUGCGAGGCUGCUGCUGUGCGAAUCGAGGGCUGGUUCGAGCGUAGCCGUGCCGCUGCUGUGGUAGAGCGUGGUGUUGUGUGCCGUUGACGGAAAUCGGUCGCCGGAACUUGAUUUCCGGCAAGCUUAACGGUCCCAAUUUCAUAAGCGGAACGUUCGAUUAAGACAGCGAAAAUUCUCCGUUACAAGACUAGGUGUGCUGGUG